Molecule: ribosomal RNA, 540 nt
Filed under: Hypocreales sp. DSP
Lineage: Eukaryota; Fungi; Ascomycota; Sordariomycetes; Hypocreales
Description: SSU rRNA
Rfam family: Eukaryotic small subunit ribosomal RNA
Source: RNAcentral
CAAUUAUACAGCGAAACUGCGAAUGGCUCAUUAUAUAAGUUAUCGUUUAUUUGAUAGUACCUUACUACUUGGAUAACCGUGGUAAUUCUAGAGCUAAUACAUGCUAAAAAUCCCGACUUCGGAAGGGAUGUAUUUAUUAGAUUAAAAACCAAUGCCCUCCGGGGCUCACUGGUGAUUCAUGAUAACUUCUCGAAUCGCAUGGCCUUGCGCCGGCGAUGGUUCAUUCAAAUUUCUUCCCUAUCAACUUUCGAUGUUUGGGUAUUGGCCAAACAUGGUUGCAACGGGUAACGGAGGGUUAGGGCUCGACCCCGGAGAAGGAGCCUGAGAAACGGCUACUACAUCCAAGGAAGGCAGCAGGCGCGCAAAUUACCCAAUCCCGACUCGGGGAGGUAGUGACAAUAAAUACUGAUACAGGGCUCUUUUGGGUCUUGUAAUUGGAAUGAGUACAAUUUAAAUCCCUUAACGAGGAACAAUUGGAGGGCAAGUCUGGUGCCAGCAGCCGCGGUAAUUCCAGCUCCAAUAGCGUAUAUUAAAGUUGUU